This 318-nucleotide ribosomal RNA is filed under the name Triticum aestivum (bread wheat). RNAcentral's name for it is "partial small subunit ribosomal RNA". Lineage: Eukaryota; Viridiplantae; Streptophyta; Magnoliopsida; Poales; Poaceae. The record is from RNAcentral.
AUGUUGUGCUGCACAUGCUUACCCUUUGUUGUAACAUCAAUUUGCAGGUUUAUUGAGGGCGAUUACGAUACAUAUGUCUCUCAGAUUAGGAAGCCACAUGUGUGGGGAGGUGAGCCAGAAUUGCUCAUGGCUUCUCACAUUCUUCGGAUGCCCAUCACCUUUUACAUGCGUGAAGAAGCAGCGGGUGGUUUGAUAGCGAUCGCGGAGUAUGGCCAGGAGUACGGGAAAGAAGACCCAAUCCGAGUCUUCUAUCAUGGCUAUGGCCAUUAUGAAGGGCUGCAGAUACCAGGGAACGCUGAACCCAGAUGCAGGGUUUGA